Long non-coding RNA from Papaver somniferum (opium poppy), 1942 nucleotides. RefSeq lists it as uncharacterized. The record is from RefSeq and is a predicted model, not a curated record. The transcript has 4 exons. NCBI's taxonomy places the organism in Eukaryota, Viridiplantae, Streptophyta, Magnoliopsida, Ranunculales, Papaveraceae.
CCACAAAAUAAAGAAUUUUUUUAAUAAUAAAACAAUCUUCCCGGAAAAAAAAUUCUGAGAGAGAUUUUUUUUUAUUUUUUCUCAUAACCCUAAUAUUGUUUCCGACCGCCCACGACUCUCUUCUCCACCACAUCCCUUCUCUUCCAGAAGUUUAACAGAAGAUCGAUUUGAUUAAUUUGAUCAACUGGGGUUUUUUAUGUGUAGGUAAUAAGUUUCUAUGUUUUCCUAUUUUUCAUAAAAAAAUCUCUGCGAAAAAUCUCACAUCUUCUUCUUCCAGUAUCAUCAACCACAUCAGGUAAUGUUCCAGUGAACACUAAGUAUACAUAGAUAAAUAGGGUUUCGUUGAUUAGGGUUUCGUUGUCAUCAUCAUCAUCUCUAUUUUGCUAGAUGUUAUUAGGGUUCACUUUUUUAUUAGGGAUACUUAGAUAAAUAGUUGCAGAGAGGUUGGACUAAUCUUCAAGGUGUUUAUAAUCAAUUUUUGGUGUUUAGUUUUACUGUUUUUUGUUUUUCAACUCAACUCUUUACUUGAAAGUGAUUUAUGUCAUUGUUAAUGGAUUGAUACCAAUCACAGUGCCCAGAUUCGAAGCAAAAACAAUUUGUUUUCCCAUACAUAUGAUUAUUGUUUUUCUCGAUCUUUAAACUUUGACUCUUAGGGUUUCUUCUAAUUUUUUUAGGGAUUUCAAACAUUUGAUUUGCAGAUGAGUUACUUAAUUGGAGAUGCCUGAAAAUUGUGGAUAUUUUUGUUCCAUGUAGUCAAUUUAUACUUUCAAGAUCUAGGUGAUGUUUUUGUUCUUAUCAUAACUGUCGAACUUUAUGUUUAUUUGUAGGAUUGUUAUAUGUCUGAUGUCAUGGCUGCAGUUGACCAGUUAAUUUGGUCGAAAAAAUUCGGCAAUUUGAUUUAUCUUAGCUAUGAUUUACAAAACUAAUUGAUGCUUCUGAAAAAGAUUUAUGUUUCUGAACAAUAACUUCCUCUUUGCAUGUUAGUAAAGUAUGUACUUAUAUUUGCUACUCGGAAUUAAUUUAUUGAGCCUCCAAUAAUUUUAAAAUUUUAUCAAUCAUAAUAAGCUAUCCAACAGUUCUACCCAAAUCACUGUUCAUCCUGAAUUCAUAGGUUGUCUAUCAUUAUGAUUGUUGGCGGUUUUGAAAAAGCUUCCAAGAUAACCAAUAUUGUUCAUAUGAUAAGUAUAGAUGUUACCUGUUACAGAUACUUGAUUAGUAAUCCAUAUUCAUACAAAGUUUGUUUUUCAUCAAUAAUGGAAUUAUAUUCUUUCCUUUUUGAGUAAGGGCUAAGCGUUCAUUCCAUAUUACUACUGAUUGUUUCUAUUACUGUUAUAUCCUUAUAACCCCGCUUUAAUCUCAAAACCGUGUUUGCGUCUUCUUACAUAAUUCUAUGUAUUAGUUUUAUCUGUGAUUUCAGGUGAUAAAUUAUGUUACGAGUUGGAAUUCAAUUGGAAUCGAAUAUUGCUACAAUGGCCAAAAGCCUUUUCCUGCACCUUUCUUAGAAAUUGCAAAGCAGUCUCCAUGGGUUGGUAUAAAGGCCGUGCAGACCCAGUUAGUAAUUUCAGUACAAUGGUAGUAUUAUGAGUUAUAUAUUAAACUGGAACAUGGUAUGAGUACACCAACCGAUACAGGGGCCAAUCUUAUAAUGGUUGGAAUGGUUUGGGUGAGCUGUUUCAAGGGCGCCUUGAUGAUGGAACCAUUAGGAGUGUUAAAUAAUGCAAUGCUGGCGAAGACUGUACUGAGACAAGUAUUCAAACACGGUACUGAGGAGGCGUUGCUUCUUCUUUAUGCAUGUAACGUGAUUACUUUGUAAAUUUUCUGCAUAAUACUGUAAAAUUCGUGGCAACUAUUUAAUUUUUUCACUGUCUAAUUCGGGGUAUGGAAUGUUUUAAAUGUCUAUGUAAUAUAUUUGAUUGGUAGCAAAUUUAUUAGCUCAUGUUAA